AUGAAGAGUUUCGGAAGAGAAAUGGUUACUGUGAAAAGGCAGACGUGGAGUGGAAGCCACAUGCCCUUGAUUUCAAGCACAAGAAUCUGGUUAAGCUAUGGCUUCCAACCUGCCGACAUCUUUGUGCGAUUCAUCAGGUGUGUCAUGGAACAUGCGGUUAAUAUGGUGGAGAUAUGUCUGCAUGACAGGAAGAUAUGUCUACGCUGUGGUGACUUGGAUACCAAGAUGAAGUGCCCAUCGAGAUAUCCACGGAACGCUGAUGAGCGCAUGCAGAUCAUUGAAGAAUUGGGGAUGUCUUUGCCUGUUCGCUUCUUGUCAUAA
Molecule: ribosomal RNA, 321 nt
Filed under: Triticum aestivum (bread wheat)
Lineage: Eukaryota; Viridiplantae; Streptophyta; Magnoliopsida; Poales; Poaceae
Description: partial small subunit ribosomal RNA
Source: RNAcentral